This 7250-nucleotide long non-coding RNA is filed under the name Homo sapiens (human). RNAcentral describes it as "non-protein coding lnc-MDGA2-2:4". Lineage: Eukaryota; Metazoa; Chordata; Mammalia; Primates; Hominidae. The record is from RNAcentral.
GCUGACUCUCUUCGGACUCGGCCCGCCUGCACCCAGGUGAAAUAAACAGCCUUAUUGCUCACACAAAGCCUGUUUGGUGGUCUCUUCACAUGGAUGUGAGUGAAAUUUGGUGCCGUGACUCAGAUCAGCGGACCUCCCUUGGGAAAUCAAUACCCUGUCCUCCUGCUCUUUGCUCUGUGAGAAAGAUCCACCUACAACCUCUGGUCCUCAGACCAACCAGCCCAAGGAACAUCUCACCAAUUUUAAAUCCGGAAGUUCAAGCUGCUAGAUGGACAGGUCAAAUGAAGAAACAGAUGCCUGACCACUACUAAGCUGUAACUGAUACUGCAGUUGAGAUACAAGAUGUGAAUCUAAAAGAAAUCACCUCGGAUGUCUAGCCCUGUCCUCAAAUAAUUUCAGCUCGGCUGUCUCAUGACUACAACCAUACAAGAAACCCCAACCAACAUAUGGAAACAACCUAAAUGUCUGUCGACAGGUGAAUGAAUAAAGAAAAUGUGGUAUAUACAUACAGCAGAAUAUUGUUCAGUCUUAAAAAAGAAGGAAACCUUACAAUAUGCAGCAUCAUGAAUGAACAUGGAGGACAUUAUGCUAAAUGAAAUAAGCCAGUCACAGAAGGAACAGACACUGCCUGAUUCCAAUCGUAGGAGAUAACUAGUAUUGUCAAAUUUAUAAAAUUGACAAGAGAAUGGUAGUUGCUAGUGGGUGAGCAGAGGGGAAGAUGAGGAGUUAUUGUUGAAUGUGUAUAAAGUUUUAAUUAUGCAAGAUGAGUAAGUUCUAGCGAUCUAUUGUACAACCUUGUGCCUAUAGUUAACAAUGAUGUAUUGUGGAUGUAAAAAUUUGUUAAAGAGGAUACAUCUCAUAUUGUUUUCUUACCACAGUAAAAAAAAAAAGAAACAAAUAAACAAGAAUGUAUAUAGUACUGAAAACUGUAUGUCUGAUGAUUAAAAAUUAAGAAUAUCCUCAAUACCACAUAAUUUACACAAUAGAUACAAAAGGUGUUGGCAACAAAGCAUGUCUGUCAACUUGGCUUAAAUUUUAAUCAUAAUCUCUCAAAGUCUUGAGAGAAGGCUAUGUUUUGUUCGUGUCAUUGUUAUUGUUGUUGUUUGACUCUAAAGAAUAAAUGAGAUCUUGGUAAAUUUUUGUUAUAUGCAAUACGUAUCUAAGGAACUACAAAAAUCAACUUCUAUUACUCUUGCCUAAUUCUUUCUUAGUACAUGAUUAGAUCUGUGUAGUACUUCAUUGAUCGUCUGCUGUGUAGGCAGCAUAGGCUCAAUGUUUAUUGAAUGCAGAUUUACGAUUUGUGAACCAAGAGAUACAAUGUUCUUUAAUAGUAUUAGAGUUUAGAUUUCAUGUGUCCUCAGUGUCAACAAGGACAGUGACAUUUCUCCAAGACUUUUAUUAGUGAGGUAUAGCAUCCGUGAUGCUCAGUAAAUGGAAAAGCAGUUACAAUGUCAGGCUGAAGGAAAACAUUGAAACCCACUUAGGAAACUUCAUGUAUAAAGACACCUGACUUUAUUUUCUAUUUCAAACCUGGGCUUGCCAAGUGUGGAUUUACUGUGCAUAAAAGCAGCAGUUUAUUUGAAUUGUGAAGUACUCCUUUAAAAUGAAUAGUUCUAAUUGUAUUAUACAAUUUAGCUCUAAAAGGCUAUUAUAUUAGUGUGCUAGGGCUGCCAUAACAAAGUACCAAAGACUGGGUGGCCUUAACAACAGACAUUUAUUUUCUCACAAUUCUGAAUGCUAGAAAUCUGAGCUCAAGGUCUAAGUAGGGUUGGUUUCUUCCAUGGUCUCUCUCCUGGCUUAUAUAUAGCCUUCUUUUCUCUUUGUUUCCACCUGGUCAAUCCUCUGUAUGUUUUUGUCCUAAUUUCCUCUUCUUCUAAGUUCACUAGUCAUUAAAUUAAGGCCUAUUCAUAUGACCUUGUUUAACCUUAAUUACACCUUUAGAGACCUAUCUCUACAUAUAGUCACAUUCUGAGGUACUGAGGGUAGGAAGUUUGUUGUGGCACUAUUCAGCCAGUAAAAACUACCCACCCUCAACUGUUGCUCAAUCUUGUCUACCAUAGUCAUCUCUUAUAAGUCAGAUGACCCACAAUUUAGGAAGCUGAUCCUGUGGUAAAUCCUGUUCUCCUUAAAUUGGUGAAAGCAUAGAUGUCAAAAAUAGCCAUAUAGUAAAAAUUAAGUGAAGGCAUAAAAUACCUUUUCAAAGGCUUCCAAAAGGUAAGACCUUUCUAAAUAUUUCUAAAUUGAUCUACCCUAUUUUGCAGUUCCAACCAUGAGGAUUAAUAACUGCUGUGGAAUUUUUUAUAAGGGCCAGACUAGAAUUUUUAAAUGAUACCUCACAUAAUUAUUUUAUGAAAACACUGUAAGUUAUUAAUCAAAUUAGGUUAGCUGUUUUUCAGCAAAUAUUCUAUUCUUGGACAUUGUGAAUGAAGAAUGCUAACCUUUGAUUGGGGUUAUAGGGCUUUACAACAUCCGAAGCAUACUAGUGCAAAUUAAACAGUGUAUCAUCAGAAAUAUAUUUGGGAAAAGGGAAACUAUAAAGGCAACCAAAAUAGGCUGCGUAAACUUUGCAAACUUCUGUGGCUGGCUAGAGCUGAUGUACUCAGGAUCUCCCAAUAUCCUGUUAAUACCUCAGUGUCUGUCUUUUCCCCCUACAUUCAAAGAAUCUAUGCAACCCCCUGGGGGCAAACCUGUUCUAAAUCAUAUUAGCCUUUAUCCCAUUAUAAUUCCCUGUAUAUCCUAGUCUAAAGGAAAUUUAAUUGCCUUAUUCAGUCACAUAAAUUCAUUUUAAUCUGACACAUAAUGUACAAAACAUAUAUAUUGUAAGAUAAUGUUCAUGAAAGACUUAUUUAUCAAGGGAGAAAAUAUAAUGUAUACAUAUGGGGUAAUGACACAAGAUAUAAACAUGGUAACAGCAAUGAAAGUUAAAAAAUAUAUAGGAUCAGAAUUCUGAAAAAAAAAAGCUAUUACCACUAAUUCGGAUAUUUGGGAAGGAUUGAUGAUGGAAAUGGCAGUGGUAGCGAGUUUUGAAUUGUGAAAUAGGUGUAUUUUAAUUCCAGGCCAAAAAAAAAAAAAAAAAAAAAAAACAAGUAGCAUGAGGUAAACAUAAAGAGAAGAGUGAGACCUCCAGGAGGAAAAGUAGGAUUUGUUUGGCUCAAGUAAAUGGUAGAUGAAAGGCAACAGAAUUCAGACAUGGGAACAUAAUCUUAUGAAAUAACUCCAUCCUAUAUGUAAAGGAGAAAGUGAAAGUUUCAGAGAAGGACCGAAAUAUGCUUCAGAAGAAUUAAUGCUGUAGGAAUACGUUAAAUGGAUUUGAACAGGAUGUGCCAACAGCGGAGUACCAUGGCACAGGUAAGCUGCAUGGUAGGAGCCUCAGGAAUAAGGGGGAAGGCCCUGAAAGGAUACAAUUACAAAAAAAUUACAAACUAUGAAGUCAAUUGGUUAUGAUGAUGAGGCAGAGAUUUUGGUCCUGGCUGACUAACAAGAUAUUGCCUUUAAUAAAAGCAGCAAGAAAGGUUAAUUUUGGUACGAAAAACAUGAGUUCAGUUCUAAAUAUUGUAGUAGUCAAUAUUUUUAGAUGAUUGUCAAGACUCACCACCCCUGGUGUGCAAGUUGUGCAUAAUCUCUCAGACUGUGAAUGUGAUUAAUUUUAUUCUUAUGAUUAGAAUAUGCUGUGAUAUGGCACAAUUGACUUUAAGAAAGGGAGAUUGUGCAUUUGGGCCUCACCUAAUCAUAGAAACCUUUUACAUGUAGGGCAUUUUGUCUGGCUAGUAGCAAAAGAGGAAGUCAGAGGUUCAAAACAUGAGAAAGACUGAAUGGUUCAGUGCUGGCUUGAAGAUUAGGGUCCACAUGGCAAAGAAUUCAAGUGGCUUCUCAAAGCUGAAAGCAGCAAGGAAGACCUAGCAAAGAAAUGGGGACACUUAGCAAGGAAACGGGGACUUCAGUUCUACAGCCUCAAAGAGAUGACUUUUGCUAAUACUAAGAACAAGCUUGGAGUGGAUUUUUCUCUAGAGCCUUCUGAUGAGAACUCAGCUUGGCUCGUACCUUGGUUUUGGUCUUUUGAUAACCAGUAAAGAGCCCACUCAUGCUUAGCCAGACUUCUGGCCCAUUGACUGUGAAUUAAUAAAUUACUUACAUUUUAAGCUGCUAAAUUCAUGGUAACUUCAAUAGAAAAUAAAUGCAGAUAUAUUGCCCUUUAGUUGUAUGGAAAGCAUUGAAGAUAGAAUUUCUCAACCUUGGCACUAUUGACAUUUUUGUACUGGAUAAUUAUUUGUUAUGGCGGUCUGUUCUGUGCAUUAGAAGAUGUUUAGCAGCAUUCCUGACCUCUACCCCUAGAUGCCAGUAGUAUUCAAUAUUGUAACAACCAAAAAUGUCUCCAGACGUUGUCAAAUGCCCUCUUGAGAGCAAAAUUUCCUCGGUAGAGAAGCAUUUAUCUUAGGGUAAAAACUAGCGGUCAUUUAUAAAUAGGAGGUGUCUUAGUCUGUAGUCAGGUUGCUAUAACAAAAUAUCAUAAACAUAGAUAGCUUAUUCACAACAUAAAUUUAUUAUGUGCCUGGUGAGGACCCAUUUCUUAUACAUAGCGUCUUCUUGCUGUCUCCUUACAUGGUAGAAGAGGCAAGGCAGAUCUCUGAGGCUUCUUCUAUAAGGGCAGUGACCCCGAUCUCUAGAGCUCUGUCCUCAUGAUCUAAUCACCUCCCAAAGGCCCAGACUCUGAAUAACAUAUGAGUUUGGGGGUUAGGGGGUGGGGGUGGGAGGACUAGAACACUCAGACCAUAGCAGGGCACUAGAGAUCAAGGAGUUGUGGUAAAACAUUUAGAUUGGAAAAUCAGCUGGGCGAAGAAAGUUGAAGGUGGGAAGUUUUAAUAGAUAAGAUGCAAGAAUUUUAAGAAAAAAGUUUGAAAGACAUUUCUACUCAAGUAUCAUAAAAAGGAGAAAUGAUUCAGGCUGGAGAUAAUGCAGGCUAAGAGAAGAAACAAGAAAGAAAAGCCUUAAACAAUCUAAAGCAUAACUAUCAGAGAGCUGAGAAUAAAAAGUACGUUGAAAUUGGAACUAAGAUGUCAUUGACAGAUUUGUUUUGGCAGAGUGGCUUGGACAGAAGCUCAAUAGAAAAGGAAUGAAUAAAUUUUUUAAAAGGCAAUAGCUUUUAAGAGGAAAUGGGAAAAUUAGUGCUUUUAAGGUAGGAGCAUUGUUAGAGAUAGAGGAGAAAGGACAUAGGGAAAGAACUGAAAGAGGACAAAUAUUUAUUGAGUAUGUUCUCAUAGUAUCAAAACUCACCUAUAACAGUUACCUUCCCAAAAUCAAAGCAACCAUAAGCUCUGUCUCUGUUUCUACUGUUGUUUAUAGAAGCCUCUUGAUGUUCUGCCAACUGAACAUACUAGCUUUUUCCUGCCAGCCUGCCAUUGCAAAGCCUUUGAUGUUGGUUGGUUUCUUGCCACUCAACACAUAUGCCCCUAUGGACUUGACACCUUGGAUUCUUCCAUUGAAUCUCAACUUUGCUCUCACCUGACAAUUAGUUUUUCUAUUUACUUUUACUUCCAAUGCUGAAGCCAUGGUGUUGGAUCCCAGCAAUUUAUAUACUAAACCUGGUACCUGCUAUCCUAGCCAUAGCAAAACCCUCUGGGAAAAUAUUUUGUACACUGUAUAUAGAGGAAAAUAUUUUGUACACUGUAUAUCCAUGCUGGAUAACUACUUAAUUUGUUCUCAAAAUCUUCUUAUGACAUCUCUACACUAUUUUUAGAGAUCAUAAAUUAACUUGUCCAAACUCACAUAGAUAGCAAGUAAAAGCUGAAAUUUGAACUCAGAACUAUCUGACUCCACUGCCUAUGAUCAGUGCUCAAAUUUCAAAUGGAAUAUAUGUUUUUUCAACUUGACAGUCUUCCGUGAAAAAGAAUGGUGCCAGAGUCAAUCUAUGACCUGAGAUAUUAUGUAAUAUUUUCAUUAGUAUUUAAUUUGUGAACUGGAGCAAAACUUGGUUGAAAUUGGUGUUGACAUAAUACUGAGUUAGGUGGGUGGUACAUUCUUUUGAAGUAAAGGUCAGAGGUCAUUACAAAUUUAGCAAGCUAUAAAAUUAGUCAAAUAUGAUUAUACAUCUAUUUAAUUUUUAAUGUUAUCACUUCUUUAUAAAAUAAAGAAUUUUGCCAAAUAGUUCAUAUUGACAUUGUUUAAGAGCUAAGAGGAUCCAUAGAUUCUGUUCAAAUGACCCAAAUACAGUGUAUAUAUAACUUUCACAAAGUAGGAAAUAAUUUAUAUUUUAUAAGUAUACAAAUAAUUUAAAAUAUAAUUAUUUUUCUGGAUGCAUUCAUAAAAUAUUUCUAAAACAAAUUUAGAAAGAUUUUAAAUAUUUAUUUUUAUCAAAUUAUUUUAAAUGAGAAGAAGCUGCCAUAGAGAAUAGGUUGUCAUUAUUUCCCAGAACUUUUAAAUGCGGAAAGACUCAUUUUCAAACUAACUCAUCAGAUUACAUGAAAAGUGAAUUUUAUUAACUUCCUGAGGCAAGGCAGAGCCCAAACCCAAUUCUGAAUAGGAGGUCUCUGUAGAGAAAAUGAGAGAACAAAUUGUAUUGUUUAUCUCUUAGACUCUUAAGUCUUAGAGUGGGAUAGGUGGAGGAAGUCUUCGAAUUAAUUGAUUUCUUAAGGUGAGAAAUGAUGUAAGCAAGGUGAGUUCUGAGGAGAAAAAGGAUUGUUGCUAGGGACAUAACACAUUCUGCCACUGUAUUUCCAUAGCUGAUGAUGAUAUUAAUAGUUAUUCUGGUUUUUAGAGAGCACAGCUUGUUCAUUCCAUUAAAAAGUACGGAUGGCUAUGCUUCAGUUUGACACUCACUGUAAAGGAAGACAAAAUGUUGGUAAGUACUCUCAGUACAAAGAUAUUGUAAAGAAACAAGUAACAACAGUAAAUGAAAUUCAAAAAUGGAAUAUUAACAAUAAAGAGAAGUAAUAGCUCUUGAAUUACCUUCAAAUACUUCAGAGCUGUGCUGACAAAUAUGGUGGCCAGCAGCCAUGGUGAUUUUUUAAAUAUAAAGCAACUAAACUUAAAUAAAUAAAAGUUAACUUCCUUAGUCAAACUAGCCAAAUUUCAAAUGCUCAACAGCCACAUUUUACUGGUGGUUACUGUAUUGGAAAUAGCACAUAUAAAAUAUUCCAUUAUUGCAGUAUUGGAUAGUGCUCCAUUAGUACAACUUUAGUGGAUUAAAAAAAAAUAAUGGUAAAAUAUUUGAAAUUUAGGCAAUUUGCAAUCAAAAGAUGAAAAUAUAUGUUUAA